CACUGAGGGAAGCACUGAGCUUGUUUCCAGUCUCUGGUUUUUUGUAGAGUCGUACCGGGAAAUACCGGUUCUUUUCAUCAUUGGGCUCUUGUUUAAUUCAAACUCAGGCUGGUUAUGACCAAAAGCAACUCAAAGAAAACAGCUGUUCGUUAGCUAAUUUGAAAUACUUAGUGGUCACACUAAGGCUGUAGCUACCAGCUUGAAACUAUGACUGCAAAUAGGCUUCCCGUGCUGCAGAUCAUCCCCUUCAUUAAACCAAGUUAUUCUGAGACUGCUAUGGAAGCUCCCUCAGAAACAACUCCCACACAUCGCACUUGCACAGGGGUUGCAGAGCUGGUGCUUGACUCAAAAGGCAACUCUACCUCUUCCUUCUCUGUUCAGGCUCCCCCUGCCCCAUGAUGAGAGCUACAAGACCCAGGAGGUUUUAAAUACAUUGUCUCUCAUCCCUAGAGAGAUGGAGCCAAGUGCUGGACUGCUACUUUUCUAAGGAUUGAAAAGUGCCAUGGAGAAACUGAUUGGAUCCAGGCAGCCCUUUGCUGGACUUCAGGAGAUGACAGGUUCCAGGCGGGUCCCCAGCAGAGGCCCACAGCUAACAGUGAUGUUUCCAAAGGCACUUUACCACGUCAGGCAUUCCCAACAGCCCAGUGAAUCCUCCCUUGCUUGCAACUCCAGCUCCUUGUGUUAAGAGCAUCUUCACCAAAAGUAAAACGCCCCAGCAAGCUGAUCCAGAGAUAUUUUAGCCUGUUUCCAAUCUUGUCAAUGGUGGAAAACUACCACAGAGCUGGUGUUUGAGAACAAGAGGAUCACCCUGGGAAGGAAGAUCUCUGCUCUGCUUUCUCAUGCUGAUUUACUGUGGAGCUUUUCAGUACAAAAGCUGAGAAGCUGCUGGACAGUAAGAAGCCAGGAUCACUUCACUUUUAUUCACUCUCUGGGAUGCAAACAAAAGAAACCAGAGCAAGUUCCUGCCUGCUGAAAUUCCAGGGGCUCAUACUGAAUUACAGCCUGUAGGCACUUUGAAUCUUUCCUUGUAUGCAUCAGCUCGGCACUGCUCCCAGGCAACUGUACUUUAAGUUAGUUAUUAAUAAUAAAGGAUAAACUACCAACAGUUCUCAUUAAUUUCCAUGGUAAUAUUGCCUGAAAUGAGAUAAACUACUGGGCUUUCAGUUGUGUAACCACAGCUCGUAACAUGAAGGAAUGCAAUCCAGGAAAAAUGUUCAGAUGGUGGAGAGUGAUCGGCCUUGCGUAACCUCCCUAAAGGCCCAACUUCCCCUCGUAUCUAGCAAGCUGCACUCCUCAUUUUCUGAAAAUUUCCAGCCUCUGUCCUCCAGGCUCCUAUCUUCAGCAUGCCUCACAGCAUUCCUUAAGCAUUCCACCCGCCCAUCUAUUCAUUUAUAUCCCUUUUAACAAUGCACUGCUAGAGCUUCCAUAAAAGAAAACGUAACUGGAAUAUAAACAGUAAGAGAACAAUUUCAAAACCUA
Apus apus (common swift) is the source of this 1479-nucleotide long non-coding RNA. RefSeq lists it as uncharacterized. Lineage: Eukaryota; Metazoa; Chordata; Aves; Apodiformes; Apodidae. The transcript is spliced from 4 exons. The record is from RefSeq and is a predicted model, not a curated record.